This is a non-coding RNA of Durio zibethinus, 2417 nucleotides long. The record is from RefSeq and is a predicted model, not a curated record. Lineage: Eukaryota; Viridiplantae; Streptophyta; Magnoliopsida; Malvales; Malvaceae.
UUCACUCCUUUUCUUUCCUCCGUUAGUUUUUUUUUUUUUUUUUAGUUUAGUUAUUUUUUUUUACUAUGCAGCUGUGGCAAGUGGGUGCUUUCUGCUUCAUUUUUGUGGUUUCUUUGUAAUUUAAUACGAAAUUUUUAUGUUUUUUGUGGUUGAAAAUUUGGGUUUGGAUCUUGGAAUUAGGUUCAAGUUUUUUCUUCAUAAAUGUUUUCUGAAAGUUUUAUGCUCUAAAAUUUUCAUUGAAUUUUAAGGUUAGGGUUUUUUAUUUUUUUACCGUAAAGUUUUUAGCACAUUCAAGUUUUGUUCUUUGAAUUUUGGCUUGAGUAAGGAAACUGAGCUUUGUUUCUUCUAGAAAUGUUUUCUGAAAGUUUUAUAUUCUAAAAUUUUCAGUGAAUUUUAAGGUUAGGGUUUUUUUUUUUUUUACCGCAAACUUUUUAGCACAUUCAAGUUUUGUUCUUUGAAUUUUGGCUUGAGUAAGGAAACCGAGCUUUGUUUCUUUUAGAAAUGUUAAUGCCGUUUCAGUUUGGGCUUGGUCUUCUUGUUGGUUACUGAGAUAUAUAGAGAAAAUACAAAGACAAGAAAAUUUUGGUUUAUUUCCCAUGUUGUUUGAGUUUUAACAAUAGUAGUAGUUGAAACAAUCCUUGAUUUGUUUACCUUUCAUUACGCAUAAAAGUUCCCCUUUUCCAGCUUGUCCAGCUAGGAAGACUCCAGAAUCUUCUUCGGUAUCGAUUUUACUUUGAGAUUUGACGCAUUAUGAUCAUUUGACAAUGAGAGAGAGCACGCUCGUUGCCAUUCAUGCAAGUACAUGGAUGUUUACAAGCGUGUUCUCUAUUGUUGUCAUAUGAUCUGUAUAAAGUUAUCUUCUCUCAGUAUCUUUCUUUUGCGGCAGUAACAUAUCAAGGCUUAUAUGCUGUGUGUUGUACAAGUGUUUCCUUCUUGGUCGUCGCCUGAUCGCCUCAAUUUCCACUAAUGUGAAAGAGAAGUUUGUCUAGGACUAGAAUUAUGAUGCUGUUUUGGGAGAUACAACAAUCCUUGCCAGCAGAUUUUCAUAUGCUGAUUUCACAUUGCCAUACACUGACUUAGGCAUUGGAAUGGUAGCGGCCAAAGCCAGCAAAAACAAUAUUGAAGGCUCUUUCUGGAGAUCUGUGGAUAACAACUGUUGCUUUCUUUAUUUUCACUGGCUUUGUGGUUUGGCUUAUUGAACGACCCAUCAACGAUGAAUUCCAAGGCUCACCAUCGAAGCAAGUUGGAAUUAUCUUUUGGUAUUCCUUCUCAACGCUUGUAUUUGCCCAUAAAGAGAAGCUCUUGAGUAACUUGUGAAAGUUUGUCGUGAUAAUAUGGGUGUUUGUUGUGCUUAUAUUAACCUCAAGCUACACAGCAACUUUGGCUUCCAUUCUGUUUUUUUGAGAGGAUUAUGUAGGUUAUCAUUCUGGUUUUUUGUUGCCAAGGGCAAUUAGCAACUUAAAUUUUGAAAAUCCCGGAGUAAAGCCAUACCAAUCUCAAGAAGAAUAUGCCAAUGCUUUAAGAAGGGGAAGUAAGAAUGGUGGUGUGUCAGCCAUUAUCAAUGAAAUACCAUACUUAAAGUAUCCCUUGCCAAGUACUCUGCUGAUUACACCAUGAUCCAGUCAAAUUCUACAUCAGGCUUUCAGCUUUGUAAGAAUCCUUUCGAAAGCCCUGAUCUAGUCUAAAAAAUUAAUCUACUUACUAAAAAAUGCCAUUCAUUCCCACAUGAUUCUUUUUUUCUUUUUGUUCAAAAGAAGCUGCAGCUUAGUGAUAGAGAAAAGGGCAACAGGUACUGUGAUUUGAAUCCUAUGUCUACUUGCGCCACUUUUUAAGAGUAAUUGCAUGAAUCAACUAAACUAAAUUUUGGGUUUAUUCCCAUAUGAUUUUGGUCUUUCGUUAACUUGCAGCGAUGGCUGUUGAUUGACUUAUGUUAGCUUGUAGGUUUUCCCCAAGCCCUGUUCCAAGGCAUAUCAAGUGCAAUUGUGAGGAUAAGAGAGGAAGGAAAGCUGCAGAUGAUGGAAAAUGCAUGGUUUAACAGUGAGUCAAACUUUUCAAACCAGGACUCUACAAGUAAUCCCAGCAGUCUAAAACCUUGAUAGCUUUGAGGGUUUGUUUCUUGUUACUGGGAUCUCUUCAACUUCAGUUCUACUAAUAUGGCUAUGUCAAAAACGUCAAUCCAUGACAAUCAGCAACUUCAAAUUCUACCUAAACAGCAGUUUAGAAUAUGUAAAAGGGUACUUCAAUUAGUCUUUAGAAAUAAUUUAUGACACAAAACUAAAUUUUUUAUCAGUAGGCUUGUACAAAUUGUAAGUUUUUCUACUCUUUAUAUUGAGUUUGUAAGCCCUGAAUUUAAUGAUAGUAGGGAUGCGACUAUAUUCAAUGUAAUUUUUUUUCAAAUUUUUUUUUGUUUUUAUAUG